Molecule: non-coding RNA, 7401 nt
Organism: Peromyscus maniculatus bairdii (prairie deer mouse)
Lineage: Eukaryota; Metazoa; Chordata; Mammalia; Rodentia; Cricetidae
Source: RefSeq, a predicted model, not a curated record
CUGGAGGGAGACAUUUCCCCUGACUCAACAAGUGGGUGGAGGAGGCAGGACAGGCAAGGAACAGCCCCCUCAGGGUGUCAGCACAAGCCUCCCACUGCACACACAGAGCUGGCUGACUCAGUACCACAUUUGUCUGUCCUCUUCCCAAAGGAUCUGAAGACUUUCUUAUUAGAGUCAAACAAAUCAAUUAAAAAAAAAAAAAACCACAAAAAUACUGUUUCCAUUGCUUCACAUUCUCUUACCUUUUUUGAUAACACCAAGUGGCAUUUAUGUAUACGUUGUGACAACUCUCUACCUUCCAUGUUUUGGUGAGUGGAUGGUGACUGUGGUCAGGUAUACUGCCCUGGUGAGCAAUCCCCAAAUCUCAGUGGCUUAAUGAGAACUCAUGUUCCAUUUUUUGAGGGGGAUCUGGGGAUGGAGGGCAGGCAACUGGGGACCCGGGCUGGUGUGGCACUGGCACAGUUGUUGGGGCAGAAUAAAGAACCUAGUCAGUGCUGGCUCUUAUGUUUUCCAGAGCCGGGGGAAGCCUGUGAAAUGCUGUCUCCUGGAUACGGCGUGGCUGAUGUAAUCAUGAACACAGAGCAGCUAUGGCUUCCCUCACAAGCCCUGCACACUCCUGAAAUAAGACACAGUAGUAAGAGAGGGACUAGUUGAGAAGGGAUCUGUCGGAGUGGAAGGGGAAAGAGAGGGUAACAGGGUAAAUAUGCUCACAAUAUAUUCCCUACAUGCAUGCAAUUGUCAAAAUUACAAUAAUCUUAAGAUGUCCAGCAUAAAUGGACACACUCAGUACUGCUCACGUCUCAUUGGCCAAGAACUCUACCUACCUUAAAAGGAACGGAGACUUAAGCCUGGCUCAGAGGGAGGGAAGAGGAUGUUUAUUGCUGCUUUAAUGGCAAACCAACAAAAUUAGUAUGUAAAUAGGAUUUUUCUUAGCACUUCCCUGAGAGCCUGGGCAGCUGUCUACAGGAUGGAAUUCACAAGGAUCCAGCAGUGGACUGUGGACAUGACUGCCUGGGUCACCAGCUCACACUAGCAGUGAGCUGGAAGAAUGUGGUACAGACUGAUGGGGGGACAUUCUCGUGGAAAUCAAGGAAAAGUGACUCCUUCCACACAAAGCCAGACCAAGCACUGCCAGGAGGGAGCUGACAAGUGUCUUGCCUGUAGGCCACUGCAUGCUGCCAGCCACCCUAAUAGAUGGCAGCGUCAUGACGGUGACCUUCACUUUCUGAUUUCAGUUUUCUUUACAACAAAGCUUACACAGGCUCGAAUUUGAUUAAAAUGACAACAAAACCACCAACAACCACCACCAACAACCAAACCCAAACACUUGUCCAACCAUCAAAAAUAAUUGAUAAUGAUUUUGAACCUAUCUUGAUAAAAAUUCCAGAGAAGUGUGAGGUUUUCUUUCUUCCCUCUUCCUGCCUGCCUGGAGAAGCAUUCUGUAUUCUUCAAUACUCUUGCCAAAACACGGCCUCUUAGACAGAAUCAGUCCCUCUAGACACUCACUCUGUGCUUGCCUGAACUCUUACAGCACUCAUCAUGUUGUGCUACAACUUGUUUUUUUUUUUAAUCUAAUCAUUUAUUUAACCCAUGUACAUAGUUCUCGCUAUGAUGCUCACGGUGUAACCAGCAUCACUUCAUCUAGUCCUUGUGAUCUGCCUAUGAGGCAGCCGCUGCUAUCUCUACUUGGCACAUGAGAUGCCCCAUCUCAGAGGAGCAGGUACUUUCAGUUCAGGAGAAAACACGGAGGCUUGAGUUGACCCAGAUAAAUGGACUCUUGACUAGAUGAGGCGCCUUGGGGAAAGAGGGCAGCCAUCAUGAGCUUAGUAUUGCUCAAAGGUCUGGGUUAGGGCUUGGCAUCGGGAAUGGCUGUUAAAUGAACAGACCUGCUGAUGUACUCUGAUAUCUAAUCUUGGUUGUCAGGUUGACUCUAUCUGGAAUUAACUAAAACCCAAGCAACUGGGCAUGAAGUAAGGGAUUUUCUUGACUUGAUUAUUUGAGUGGGCAAGACCCACCCUAGAUCGGAGCCACACUUUGUGGUGGCAGGUCCACAUAAGGCCACAGAAGAAAGAAGCUUCCUCCUUCGGCUGCCUGCCUUCGCUCUUGCAUGGGAUUUGGAAAUAGCUUUCCUUGUUUAGCUGGAAAUUGUUGGAGUCAUCGAUUCCUUUUGUGGGCCUAUGAUGAGCGAUGGAUAGAAGACCUUGUAACAGCGGGGCCCUAAGCUCCACCCUUGGGCCAUUCCUGAACAUCCACCCUCACCCCGAGAAGCGUCAUUCAGCUCAUGUACACCGGUUUCUUCAUCUCCCUUACCUCCAGCCCUUCACCCCUCCCACCCGUCCCACCUCUUUCUGCAUUGGAACCCUGGGAAUGCAGAUUUAAGCCCAGUUUGUUUGGCUGCCUCAUGCAUAGGCUGGCUUCAGGGAUUGGAAUAGUAAGCGGCCGGCAAAAUGGGCCCCAUUUGGUAACAGCUGCUCUCUAUACCUAUAUAGCAAGUUUUCCUGUCUGCCCUGUAUCACCAGAGCAAAGGUUCCAUAAGGCUGAGGAGCUAAUCCACCUGUCUCCCCACGGCUUGCAACUCUGCACAUGGUAUCCUGCACGCAGUAGGUAUACCUACAAACCUUAAUCCUUAAGCUGUCCUAGUGAAGCAGGCGUUAUUGCUACUGGUUUUCAACCGAGCCUUAGAAAAGUGGCCCAAUGCUGCUUGUGUUUGAACCAGAAUGUGGCCCCAGGUCUUGGUCUCUUAGUGCCAUAUGGAUUCUGGGGCCCCAGGUGGUUUUAAAUAUGCAGUGUCUUCAAUUUUAUUAAAAUAGCUUGUCUAUGACUCAGCCUAUGUUCUUGCUAUACAAGACUCUGUUCAGAGGGGAGAGUUGCUGAAAGGCCCAUAUGUAAUCAAAGACAAUCAAGACGAAUAUAAUAAGAAUGGGUCUCUUGCAAAAAGGAAGUUUAAGGACUCCAAAGUGCCCGGUCCUGACUACUCACUGCGAAUCCUCUCCUUUGGAGGGAAUGCUCCAGGCUGUUCAAAGGUAACCAAAGGUUUUCUUUUGUUUUUAAAAUAGACAGAUACUACCAACUGCUAAAUGGAUACACAAAAUACAGUGCAUUUUAUCCAGCCAUAAAAAUGAAUGAAGUCAACCAGGCAGUGGUGGCCCACACCUUUAAUCCCAGCACUUGGGAGGCAGAGGCAGGUGGAUCUCUGUGAGUUCAAGGUCAGCCUGGGCUACAGAAUGAGUUCCAGGACAGCCAGGGCUACAAAGAGAAACCCUGUCUUCAAAACAAAACUAGGAAGUCCUGCUACUUGUACAACACGGAUGAACCUUGGAAACUCUAUGCUAAGUGAAAAGGCCAGACACAGGAGGCCACAUAGCAUACAAAAUACCACCUAUGUGAGAUUUCCUAAGUAAGAGCCUGGAGAAUAAGAGCAGAUUCAAGCAUGCAGGGAAUGGGGCACAGUUCAUGCAUCUGGGGUUUUGUGGAGUGUCUGCAAGACGUGGUAGUGCUUGGCAAAACAUUGUGCAUUCACUACUACUAAAACGUACCUUUUAAAAUGCCUGGUGUGGUGGCACAUACCUUCAAUCCCAGCACUUGGGAGGCAGAGGCAGGCAGAUCUCUUGAGUUCUAGGCUAGUCUGGUCUACAGAGUGAGUCCCAGGACAGUCAAAGAUAUAUAGUGACCCUGUCUCAAAACAACAACAACAACAACCACAACAAAACAAAAAAACACAAAAGGUUUAAAUGGUAAAAUUUAUACUACACAUACUUUAACACAACUUAAAAACAGCAACAUAUUAGACAACAGAAACAAGCAGCUGUACUUUUCAGUUGCCUUCAGAGGACAUGAACGUGCGCAAUAACCGCCAAGUUUGAUAGUCUGGGGUGCCAAUACUUGAUAUAAAGGCUGGAGUGACACACUGAGUUGUGUUUGGGACUUUUGCUAAAAGAAUUAGUCUAGAGCCAGGUAUGGUGGCACAUGCCUGCAAUCUCAGCAUUGGGGAGGCUGGGGCAGGAGGAUGGAGUUCAAGGCCAGCUAGGCUACAUGGAGAGAUGCUCUUUAAAAAAUCCAGAGGGAAUAGAAGAGUACAUUCCAGGUGCUCUCUCCACAAGGGGUGGGGGACGCUACCCUGUGAGCUUGGCGUGCUGAUUUGCUUGACACAGCGACCAUUUCACUGCGCGUACCAAAACAUUUAAAUGUAUUCAAUAAAAAUUUGAGAAAUUAAGGAUCUGCAAACCUCUUAGGUCAUUUUAUAGAAAAGAGUAAAAAAAAAUUAGAAUUAUGUGCACAUAUACAAAAUCUAGAUACAUAAUAUUAAAAACCUUACCAUAGCUCGUUAUCUCCUAGAGCAAAAAUGGAGGGCCCAGCAUGCAGCUCCCACCCCUGCUUUGACUGUGGUUUGUUAAGGUCUCCAGGCUGCUGGAGCUGCCAUCCUCCAUUGUGCAGGGCAUGCUGAUGGGCGUGUCUGGCUUCCUGGGUCUCAGGAAUCUGCCACAUCUUUCUUUAGGACGUGAAAACAGCUGGCCCAUGAAUGAUGACUGGUGGAGAUGCCUCCCCUGGGCCCUUCCCUGCAGACAGCUGCUCUGCCUUUGUAGCCGACCCCAAACCCACAGAACUGCCUUCGCAUCCAUCUGGACAGAGCAGUGGGAAAUGAUUCCAUCAUCCUGUCUUGCCUUUUAAAGUUUGAGCGGCUCCAUAAUAGACCUAAGUAUUUGGAGGUUCCAGAUGGCUUUGUUCAUGGAGGGUCUGCAACCAGCCAGCUGCCUGAUGAGGCUGUUCUUAUGAAAGCUUCCCCUAUCUCUCCCUCAUCCACAAUGAAAUGGUGCUUAUAUUGUCUGCACCAACCCAGGCCCUGCUGUGCCUGGGAAGUUUACCUCUUUCAAUCACGUGGCACGAUCCUGGUGACCAGAGCUUGUUCCUGCAACUUUGGGGGUGUCCUGUAGCAGCACACAGCCUGUAUUACUUUCCAGGUACCCUCUUCCCUCUAACAGCACCCAGACUCCUUUGCAGGUCCAGCCUGUCACCACGAUUGGCUCAGGCAGCUUUGGAAUAGCACAGCAUGAUGUGCUGUAAGGACCAUCAAGUCUGAGCUUUUUGGAAACUCUUUCUCUAGGAACCCCCAAAGUAACAGGCGUGCUGGGGAUCAUCACCACCAAUACUCAGGAUGCUUGUCUGAAGGUUAAAAUACAGCAGGCGCAUGGUUGGAGACAGCAGUCCUGACACAUGCUUUGAGACUCAGUUCACCGCUGGCUCCAACUGAAAGAAUGUGCCUGUGCACCUGUCGACAUCUCUUUCUGUCUCUAAGGCUAGAGACUGAUCCCGAGGCUUCAAACACACAUGGAACACUCCACCAUGGAGCCACACCCCAGCUCCAACAACAUACCCACUUGCUGAUAAGUUGUUUGUCGCUGUAUCUAGUGUGGUUAUGUGAAAUUUUCAUUUUCUGCAUUAAAAAGGCUUUCUUGUGGUAAAAUGUGCAAAAGAUUUACCAUGUUAGCUCUUUUAAGUGUUAGCCCAGUGGCAUUAAGUGUAUCUUCACUAUUGGACAAUGUGACAUCACUACCCACUUCCAGCAUUUUACCUUCAUCCUAAACAAAACCCUGCCACCAUUUAAUGCCAACUCAGAUCUCUUCUGCCCCCAGUAACCACUAUGUUACUCUGUCUCUAUGAAUGACUGCAUUAGUAAACAUCACAUGAAUGGAAAUCAUACAACUAUUUGUGACAGACUUACCUCAUUUCUAGGUCUUCAAGGCUCACCCACAAUGAAGAAUGUACAACAGUGUCCUCCUUUCUUGCUGCCAGCUAAUAUUCCACUGUGAAUUUUGUUUCUCUGCUCACUUGCAGGUGGACAUAUGUGUUAUUUCUAUUUUUAUUUUUUGGCUGUUAUAAAUAAUGCUCCAGUGAAAAGCAGUGUAAAGGUAUCUAUAGGAGUCUCAUUUUAACUUAGAAGCUUCGUGUAUCCACCACCAGAUAGCUGACUAUGCAGUGAUUGUGUUUGAGGAUUAAAGGGACUGUUAUGCUGUCUUCCACGGUGGCAGCAUCACUUAACGUCUCCACCAACAUGCUGCCAAGGUUCCCACUGCCCCAUCUCUGCACCAACACUUGUCUUUGGAAACCAUUUAAAGGAGGAACUGUGGGACCCUGGGAAGAGGCCUUAUGACCUCAUCUUUGUAAGAAGAGAACCGUUGGGCUACGGAAUCGUCAAAGCCAGCAGCUCUGGCCUUUUUGAAUAGGUCUGUGCUCUCCAGCAGUGUCUUCAUAAUUCCAGCCUCACACCACCCCCGACACCAGGACGCUGGGCUGCAUGUCUGCAGUGGAGAUGAAUGACGCUCAGAGCUGCGGGCUACUUACUCCCUUUCCUGAUUAGAAGGGAAGAGGCUAACCACAUAUUCCUCCUUCGGAGCCACCUUGCCUGCCGUGGCCCUUCCCAGCUCUAGCAUCUGUGGUGAGAAUUUCCCAGGACCCUCAGAGUCCAGGAAAGUUACAAUACUAUCUCACAAGUAUGCGGCCCCAGGAGAUGGGUAGCCGGUCCCCUUCUUUACAGCCUUUGCCUGCACUCUGCCAGCUACAGAAAACCUGGAGAAACUUCCCAUUUAGAGCUAUACAAGACAAGGGGUGGGGGGAAGAGGAAGGAGCCAGUGAACUGUGACACCAAGACCUUGUAAGGGCUUUAUUUCUAUGUCAUCAUGGUCUCAGACAGACUCUGAGGCACCAUCAUUUGUCUCAAUUUGGCAUCCUCAGGAUUUUCUGUAGUGCUUUUCCCUUAAACAAGAAAAUGUCGAGUGAGCUUUGUACACUGCCAGUUAAUGUUUGAACAAUAAUUUAAAAACGGGGCUGUUGUCUCAUUGGGACAGGGGGACCGACAGGAACCGUACAGUACGAGGAACUCCACAAUGAGUUACAGUGGAUCAGACCGACGCACACGCAGGUGCGGGCAGGGACAAGAGCAGGGUAUGUACAGGUGCCCGAGGAUGUGCGGCAGGCGGAGUAUAUGGGUCAUACAGUGAGUCUUAAGUCAUCGGAGGGGCUCCGUACCUUCUCAGACAUGUUGAUCUGCAUCCUUCCAGAUUAUGGACACUCUUGUCUUCUGGCCUCAUGGCCUUUUCACUAAAAAGAGUUUACUGAGUUGGACAGUCUGAAGCAUUAAAAAAGACUCCUAAAAAACUCAGCACUGGACAAAAUAAAACUUAACUUAGAACAUUCUGAACUCAAUAUGGAGAAACCCAACCAAAAUGGAACAGUGCAAAUUUAACAGAGGCAGUUAGGAUCAAGAACAAGGGUGUUUGGAAUCUCUUAAGAUGUACAUUUUAAAACUCUUAAAUCUAUUUAUACCUUAUUUACCCUUUUUUGUUUAAUAUAUUGUGUGUAAAAAAGAUGGAGACAAAAAUAGUUUUCUGAGCUAUGAAAAAAUUA